This 74-nucleotide transfer RNA is filed under the name Macleaya cordata. It matches the Rfam family "tRNA". From Rfam's summary of the family: Transfer RNA (tRNA) molecules are approximately 80 nucleotides in length. Their secondary structure includes four short double-helical elements and three loops (D, anti-codon, and T loops). The record is from Rfam by way of RNAcentral. Lineage: Eukaryota; Viridiplantae; Streptophyta; Magnoliopsida; Ranunculales; Papaveraceae.
GGACCCCCAGCUCAGUUGGUUAGAGCGUUGGUCUUAUGAGGCGAAGGUCGCGGGUUCGAGCCCCGCCGGGACCA